UUUCUAGUUUGGGUACCUUGACACCAUCUACAUAUAUGGAUGGGAUGUAUGGCCCAUUCACUACAAUGGUCCACAUCUCAUAGUCUUGGGCUUGGAUGAAUAUUCUCAUCCUAGCCUUCCAGUAUGAGUAGUCGGAUCCAUUGAAGAAAGGGGGUCUUUGGGUGGACUGACCCUCAAUGUGAGAAGAUCCAAAUGGGGUUGUCAUUUUGAUCUUUUAACUCUUGAGUGGAAGAGUUUUUGGCUCUGAUACCACUUGUUGUCCAGAUAGACAACCCAAGAGGGGGGGGGGGUGAAUUGGGUUUUAAAUUAAUUUGGAUAAUUAAAACGUUAUGGAUGAUUAAUUAAAAACUAUUGCAAGUUAUUUAAUUAAUGCUAAGUGCUGUGAGUGAUGUGAGAGGAAGAAGAGAAGAGACAAUCCAAUGCAAACACAGAGUUUUAUAGUGGUUCGGAGCUACCCCUUGCUCCUACGUCCACUCCCCAAGUCUCUCUUGGGAAUUCACUAUAACCCCCUUGGAUUACAGCCGGUAGUUUUGCAAGCUCACAACCAAACUUGUUGUUUUACGAGCUCACAACGAACUCGGUCGGUUUUUCUAGGCUCACCGACUAGAACCAACCCCGAUUGUUUUCCCGGGCUCACAAUCAAACCCUUACACACGUUGGUUUUUAACUUGGCUCACCAACCAACCUUAAUCCCCUUGAUUCAAUCCUCCGAUUGAACCAAGUAAAUACAAGUUAUAGAAAGAAAGGAAAAUAAGCU
RNAcentral lists this long non-coding RNA (757 nucleotides) under Phoenix dactylifera (date palm). RNAcentral's name for it is "long non-coding RNA (PDAC_LNC009550)". Lineage: Eukaryota; Viridiplantae; Streptophyta; Magnoliopsida; Arecales; Arecaceae. The record is from RNAcentral.